RNAcentral lists this ribosomal RNA (253 nucleotides) under uncultured bacterium. RNAcentral describes it as "partial 16S ribosomal RNA". It matches the Rfam family "Bacterial small subunit ribosomal RNA", at positions 524 to 776 of the family's 1533-position model. The record is from RNAcentral.
UACGUAGGGUGCGAGCGUUGUCCGGAAUUACUGGGCGUAAAGAGCUCGUAGGUGGUUUGUCGCGUUGUUCGUGAAAACUCACAGCUUAACUGAGGGCGUGCGGGCGAUACGGGCAGACUGGAGUACUGCAGGGGAGACUGGAAUUCCUGGUGUAGCGGUGGAAUGCGCAGAUAUCAGGAGGAACACCGGUGGCGAAGGCGGGUCUCUGGGCAGUAACUGACGCUGAGGAGCGAAAGCGUGGGGAGCGAACAGG